RNAcentral lists this long non-coding RNA (277 nucleotides) under Homo sapiens (human). RNAcentral describes it as "HSALNT0090233". Lineage: Eukaryota; Metazoa; Chordata; Mammalia; Primates; Hominidae. The record is from RNAcentral.
ACAGCAUAGGUGCAAAAAAAAAAUCUACAUUAAAACCCUUUGUUGGAAUGCUUUACACUUUCCACAGAACAGAAACUAAAAUAACCUGUUAUACAAUUAGUCACAAAUACAGUCCUCGAGUUUUUUGCCCAUACACAUGAGUAUUUGUCUAAAACAUGUCUUCUUUGUAGCAGCUAGGCCCUGCCACCACUGUGCUUGGCUGAGUUCACAAAUCUGUUGUAACCUGUAGCUUCCCUGUCACUUCUCUGGCUCUCCGCUCCUGCUAAGCUUUGUUUCC